UAAGUCAGCCACGAAUAGGCUAUCCCAACUAACGGCGGGAAAGACUCCACGGAGGGUGUAAGACCCGUGUGGGCGCGUGUCAAUGCUGUGUGGGCUCGGCCUUUUUCCCUGAGAGUCGCGUUGCUUGAGCUUGCAGCGCUAAGCAGGUCGUAAACUCGAUCUAAGGCUAAAUAUGUCCACAGAACCGAUAGCGAACAAGUACCGUGAGGGAAAGUUGAAAAGCACUCUGGAGAGAGAGUCAAAAGACCGUGAAACCGCUCAGAGUAUAAGCCCAUGGCAGCUUGGAAGGCAUAUCGCUAGCGGGGCAUCGGUCUCCCUUCGCGGGGAGCUGGUGUUACCUUGCUUCUGUUGUGGCUCGUUAUGGUAGGGGGGUCAAGUCCACAUCCCGCCGUCGUGUGGGGAGUUCUUGGGCGCGUCGUGGCUUUGCGGUUGACUUCGGUUGGCCGUAGGGCUCUUCGUGCUUGGUUCUUCUUUAGACACGGACGUUCAGACUCAGUUGCAAGACGCGAUAACCAGCCCACCACGGCACGUUGUGAGGUCACCCUCAGGCUCGACUUUCGAUUGUGGUCCUUGACGCCGAGCAAGCACUGUGCGUGUCGCAGAUUUUCCUAACCAGGCAACGUUUGUCAGGAUCGUGGAACGACACGCGCUCAACAGUCAGGACCGGGCGAUGACAGAGUUCUGGUAUGAUCCUCAUGCGACGAGCCGCCUUCUGGCCGAUUUCCGAUGCUCAGGUCUCCCGCAUGUGCCGCGGGAGAUCGCUUUGACGGUCUGGA
This 776-nucleotide ribosomal RNA is filed under the name Gammarus komareki. Its description in RNAcentral is "eukaryotic LSU rRNA". It matches the Rfam family "Eukaryotic large subunit ribosomal RNA", at positions 157 to 623 of the family's 3401-position model. The record is from RNAcentral. Lineage: Eukaryota; Metazoa; Arthropoda; Malacostraca; Amphipoda; Gammaridae.